Molecule: long non-coding RNA, 4131 nt
Filed under: Homo sapiens (human)
Lineage: Eukaryota; Metazoa; Chordata; Mammalia; Primates; Hominidae
Description: HSALNT0390224
Source: RNAcentral
CUUAUCUCUUAUAAAAUCAUACAGGAAACAUUAUCAAACAUAAAAUGAUGUUUGACUUUCUUUAUUCUAAAAACUAAUAAAAAUAGGUGCUAAAAAUUUUCCAAAUGAAAAUAAAUAUUGCUAAACCAAAGAGAAAUGUUAUCUAAGCCCCGUAUAAAAAAUAAAUAAAUCUUGUUCCAAUUGCAUCAAAAAACCCAUUAAGGGCCCUCCAGCACAGGGUUAAUACCAACGAGUUUCCACCUCCAGCUGCUCCUAGAGUGGCCACAGCAUGAGCCAUCUGGUGGGGGACCUAGCCGCCAACAGACACUUCCUGUACAGGGGAGGGGGGAGGGGGCCAGGCAGCCGUUAGACAGCACAACCGAACCCAACACCGGGGCCCAACGGCAGGGGCUUGGGCAGGAGCAAGGUCCGAGGGCUGCCAGGUCCACGCUGCUUUUAUGAGCUGUAACACUCACCGCGAAGAUCUGCAGCUUCACUCCUGAGCCCAGCGAGACCACGAGCCCACCGGGAGGAACAAACAACUCCAGACGCGCUGCCUUAAGAGCUGUAACACUUGCCGUGAAGGUCUGCAGCUUCACUCCUGAGCCAGCGAGACCACGAACCCACCAGAAGGAAGAAACUCCGAACACAUCUCAACAUCAGAACGGACAGACUCCAGACGCACCACCUUAAGAGCUGUAACACUCACCGCGAGGUUCCGCGGCUUCAUUCUUGAAGUCAGUAAGACCAAGAACCCACCAAUUCCGGACACAGUAGCAUUUGGGAAUAAUAAGAAUUGUAGCUGGGCAUGGUGGUACACGCCUGUAGACCCCUAGCAGCUGCCAUCAUCCUCACCAUCCGCAUAUUAUUGAUAUAUUAACUCUUUGAUGGCAACCAUAGCUUAUCCCCCUUAUCUCCCUAUGCCCUACAGCAGGGCAGUGGAAUGGUUAAGAGGCUUUGAAGUCUAAGAGUGCUGGCUUAAAACCCUAAUUUGUCAUUUUGGAUGUGUGGCUUUGGACACUUGGGGCAGGUCACCUAUGUUCUUCAAGCCCUGUAUCCUUAUCUGUCAGAUGAUGAUUUUUUUUUUUUUAGACGAAGUCUCACUCUCUUGCCCGGGCUGGAGUGCAGUGGCAUGAUCUCGGCUUACUGCAAGCUCCACCUCCCGGGUUGACGCCAUUCUCCUGCCUCAGCUUCCUGAGUAGCUGGGACUACAGGCUCCUGCCACCACCCGUGGCUAAUUUUUUUGUAUUUUUAGUAGAGACAGGGUUUCACCAUGUUAGCCAGGAUGGUCUCGAUCUCCUGACCUCGUGAUCUGCCCGCCCCAGCCUCCCAAAGUAUCAGAUGAUUUUAACAACUAUGCUUCCAUGACUUGCUGGGCUAGAUGAUAUGACUGUAAAAUGCCUAACCCAUGGUUUAGCAUCAAGUAAGCAAAUUGUAAAUGGUAGCACUGCUCUGCCUAUGACUAUUUAGUCUUGUGCUUUAAACUCAAAUAUUUGUUGGCCUACUGAAGUCACCACACAGAGAAAGAUGCUUUUCAUUCUCAGUAAAGAACUUUGGGAGAUAACUGGGGCAGGCAGCAAGAGAACAGAUGUCAUAUGUCUAGCAUCAGCAAACUCAUCAGAACUGAUGGGCAGCUCACUUUGCUUAGAACCUGCACCAGCAUACACACGGGGCUGCUUCCCAGUCACACUGCUCCUGGGAAGGUAGGGGGGCUGCUGUUCUGCAAUUAGCGCGGUUCUUUACCUCCUAUUACCGAACUGCCAGAGUUCAUUUGUGUUCAGUUAGGUAGAUGACCAAUUCUUGUUCAUUCCUAUUUUCUUUUGCUCACUAAUGUGUUUAACGUUCACUAACCUACCAAAUGUGAUUUAUUAGCGACUUUUUCUUUGAAGAUGGAGUGGAGGAAUCCUAGCGCUUUCUGCAACAUGCUACUGCUGUUAUGGAACAGUGCAGAUAUGGAAGUGCAUCAGCCGGGGAUGGGGAGAGGCUAGGGCAGUACAUGUGAAUGGAGAGGUAGCCCCACCAGUGUGUUUUCUGAAAUACAGUCCCGCAGAGGGCAGUCUUGGGAAAUUACUGUUCUCACACACUCUUCUUGACCCUACCCCUCCAGCACCUCCCUUGCUAUCCAAGGGUUGGGAUUUUUAAAAAGAAAAACAAAUUUUAAAAAAAGCAGUGUGAAUCUUUUGCCAUCUUGUAAGGGUGAAAAGCCCCCUACCAAGUCGGGAUGAACAUUCAUGCGUGUGCUUGAGGGCUUGGGAAAAAGACAGGGCUUGGCCCCACAGUGCAGGUAGGCCCAGUGAUCCUAUAAUAGGGGCCAGGAGAUGGGAGGUCCCCUGUGGGCAGGAGUUCAAGUAUGUGGUAUUAUAUGACUGGUGCUUGAUGAACCCAGGGAGAGGGCACCAAAAACAAUGGUAUUUAAUUGUAAAAUCUCCACCCCCUGAGGAUAUGUUUUCAGGUCUGGGUGACUAAUUAGACUGGGAAACAAGGGCAGGAACGAUGGCCCUGUGCUUGCUCUGCCCGCUGCCUCUGUGGAUGUGUGGGCUGCUGGCUUCAGUCCUGCUUUUCUUUCUGAUGGUAUUGUUUAUGCUAUGUGUUUUUGCAGGAGGCCUGAGGUGGGCUGGGUUCUCCUCCUAUGGCAGGGCUUCACUCUCCUCCUCCUUCUCUGUUGGGGCUUCACUGUCCCUGGGAUAAGAAUAACAAUGCCAAGGUUUUCAUUCUUGAAAGGAGCAAUUAAGCGUCUCACCCCCUCCUCAUUUUAGAUGGGAACUGUGAGGGUCCCGUCAUUUACCCAGGGUCCCUGUUGAGGAUCUUGUCCUCAUUAGAUGACUUCUUGUGCAGCUUCCAUGCGUGAUUCUUUACUCUUGUGGCACUGAGAGGUUUGUACAUGUCUUUAAGCCAGAGCGGCUUUCUGAAUGAAAAAAGUCCAUCCUAGAAGAUAGAAAGGGAAAUAUUAAUUUUGCAUGUCCUCUGCUUUCCCUGGUCACAGCAAUGAAUCCUCCAAUGUACCUGACUCUCCCUUUGCGAAGAGCAUCUCCGUGGCAGAAAUCUGAAAAUGCCCCUGGGGAGACACAUGCACAAGACAUCUCAAUUUAACACAAAGAAGCAUGUUGUGCUGUAUAGAACACCAGGUGCCAGAAGACCAAACAUGCUGGCAGAUGGAAAGAAGAGGAGUGAAGAUUCACUCUCCCUUGACCAAGAUCAGAGUUCGUGAGCCACACAUCUCCCCACACCAAGCUCCUCCAUACAAGACCUCGGACUGCAUCACGUAAAUGCUUUUUCAGGGGCAAAAUCUAGAGAAUCUGAAACGAGCUAUCAGCUUCCCAGUUUGCACAAUUCAUCAAGAAAUUAUGCGGGGUCACUGGCACAAAUGAUGAGGCAUCUCCUGGAAGCUUAACUUCUUAUCCAUCCCAUCUCUUGGACAGAUGAUGCCAGUUAAUUACUUUGAAUAGAAGACUCACUGGUGGCACCUGCAGCUGCGGCGUUUUCCCCAAGGGGUCUGUCACACGCAGCCCAACUCAACUGGAGUCCUGAGAAGGUGAACAGACCAGGAUGGAUGGCCAGGGAACUCACCAGAAGUCCCCAGGCAUCAGAACAAGGUCGAAGCAUCCUGAUUAGGGUACCAGAGGCCCAGGCAGUACUUUUGGGGUAGACGAGGUACAGACCUUUGGCUCCUCACUGUCUUCAAGCCCACAAGAAGCAUAGAGCAGAAGAAGACAGAGGAGGGCCCAUCUGGCCCACUACCUGUUCUUGUAAAUAAAGCUUUAUUGAAGCCAGGUGCUCACCUUCUAGCACAUUCUUCAAGAGUUACUCUGAGGCAAGCCAGCCGCCAUGUCAUGAGGACACUCAAGCAGCACCAUGGAGAGGUCCGAUGGCGAGGAACAGAGGAUCCCCCUGCCGACAGCCAAUGAGGAACAGGCCUCCUGCCAACAGCCGUGUAAGGGGUCACCUUGGAAGCCAAUGGCCCCUCCCUGGUCAGGCUUUUACAUGACUGCAGUCCUGGCCAACAUCCUGACGGCAACCUCAUGAGAGACCUUGAGCCAGAGCCACCCACCUAAGCUGCUUAUAGGUUCCUGGCCCUCAGAAAUCACAUGAGAUCAUAAAUGUUUGCUCAAUUUGAGAUAUUUGUGAUGUAGCAAUAAAUAACAAACACACUUA